AUGGGUCGGCCGAGCGGACGGAUUUGCCUAUUUUUUCAUUUGGGUCAUCCAGUGCACCCAACGGUAGCUGACACAUUUUGUGACGCGUCUGCCCUGACAUUUUGUCAAACACGUAGCAGGCAGGGGAGCUCGCGGCAGCUUGGCGUGGCGAGGCGAGGCUGGGAUGGGCGUGUGAGUAGUGAGGCGGCCAGGCACGAGGAGGCGAGGCGACCGGGCGCACGAGGCUGCUGGGCACGGCGAGGCGAGGCCGGGCCGGACGCGCGAGCACCUAGCAGGCGUGGCCGCCGCCUGCGUCGACCAGGAGCACACACCCGCGGAGAAAUGCCGUGGCCUGGCGCUGCCCGUCGCGGAGCUCGCGAGGGACUCCUUUGUCAUGGGCGGACGCUGCCUGUCACGACGCUCGUGAGGUCCAGCUUGGGAUGCAUGGAGUCCAGAGCGCGGCAGAACUGCACGGCGGCUGUCGAGGUGGGCGAGCACGGCGGUGGCAGCUGCAGCAGCUGCUGCUGCUCAUAA
Molecule: ribosomal RNA, 513 nt
Filed under: Triticum aestivum (bread wheat)
Lineage: Eukaryota; Viridiplantae; Streptophyta; Magnoliopsida; Poales; Poaceae
Description: partial small subunit ribosomal RNA
Source: RNAcentral